UCCUCGAUAGUCUAGUGGUGAGGAUAUCGGCUUGUCAUUAAACGAUUCGCCGGGGACCGGGGUUCAAUUCCCCGUCGAGGAG
Molecule: transfer RNA, 82 nt
Filed under: Colletotrichum asianum
Lineage: Eukaryota; Fungi; Ascomycota; Sordariomycetes; Glomerellales; Glomerellaceae
Also listed under: 3 other names
Rfam family: tRNA
About the family: Transfer RNA (tRNA) molecules are approximately 80 nucleotides in length. Their secondary structure includes four short double-helical elements and three loops (D, anti-codon, and T loops).
Source: Rfam by way of RNAcentral